This 120-nucleotide ribosomal RNA is filed under the name Xanthomendoza mendozae. Its description in RNAcentral is "5.8S ribosomal RNA". It matches the Rfam family "5.8S ribosomal RNA", at positions 1 to 118 of the family's 154-position model. From Rfam's summary of the family: 5.8S ribosomal RNA (5.8S rRNA) is a component of the large subunit of the eukaryotic ribosome. It is transcribed by RNA polymerase I as part of the 45S precursor that also contains 18S and 28S rRNA. Lineage: Eukaryota; Fungi; Ascomycota; Lecanoromycetes; Teloschistales; Teloschistaceae. The record is from RNAcentral.
AAAACUUUCAACAACGGAUCUNUUGGUUCUGGCAUCGAUGAAGAACGCAGCGAAAUGCGAUAAGUAAUGUGAAUUGCAGAAUUCAGUGAAUCAUCGAAUCUUUGAACGCACAUUGCGCCC